RNAcentral lists this ribosomal RNA (585 nucleotides) under Triticum aestivum (bread wheat). RNAcentral describes it as "partial small subunit ribosomal RNA". The record is from RNAcentral. Lineage: Eukaryota; Viridiplantae; Streptophyta; Magnoliopsida; Poales; Poaceae.
AUGUGUCGCCCAUGUCUUCUUUCGUCAUAUAUAGAGGCAGAGCCGAUUUUCAUUUCCAUCACCAGCAUUUCAUCUCCUCUUCCAUUUCCAGAGAGGACAAACAAUCUCAAAUCUGUAAUUUCCAUAGUCAUGGCUUGCCAUCUCCGAUCUGCCAGCAUGCCUUCCAACCCCCUCUCAGAUGGAACCGACAUCCAAGAUCAGCUGCGGAGCCUUAAGGCGGUCAUGUCUUCGCCCUCUGUGACAAUCCAGAUAGUGUGUGGUGGUCUGACAGAGCUCAUGAGCAUCAACAGCUGCAUCGACAAGCUCACAUGCUUGACAAGCAGCAGUCAGACUCAGCAGAGGAAAGCUGUGGAGGACAAGCUUGAGCGCUCUUUAGUGCUGCUAGACCUCUGCAGCGUCAUGCAGGAGAGCUUCACAGAGCUCAGGACGAGUGUCAAGGAGGUGCAACUAUCCCUCAAGAGAGUGGAUGGCGCAACAGUCCACACCAAGGUUCAGUCUUACGCCCGCUUGGCCAGAAAGGCUCAGAGGCUGUGCAAAAGCAUCAGCAGACAUGGAGGGAUGCAGCGCCAUCAAGAUGACAGCUGA